GGGGGCAGGUGGUGGACAUGGGUUGGUUUGAUUUUAUCCUACGACUGCAGUCAAUCCUUGGAUGGCUCAUAAUGGUUCGAUAAAUUCGGCCUUGGUUCGGUGAUCCAGAACUUCAAGUCACUCAGUAUGCUCUACGGAUGGUCUUCCUCGCGUCAUUCCUGCAAAAGAAAGGAAGAUAUAAGUUGGUGGUCUAAAUUUUUUUUUUGAUAAGAGAACUUAUUCUUCUUAUGUACUUCUAAUGGAAUUUGCUCUCCGUAAUUCUACUUUGAUAUAAUCUGUGAUAUUCCAAGUGUUAAUCAAGGUAAAUGGGUGUCAGAUAGAGAAACAAAAAAACAAG
RNAcentral lists this long non-coding RNA (337 nucleotides) under Carica papaya (papaya). Its description in RNAcentral is "long non-coding RNA (CPAP_LNC004101)". Lineage: Eukaryota; Viridiplantae; Streptophyta; Magnoliopsida; Brassicales; Caricaceae. The record is from RNAcentral.